RNAcentral lists this ribosomal RNA (310 nucleotides) under Mantidactylus melanopleura. RNAcentral describes it as "partial 16S ribosomal RNA". It matches the Rfam family "Bacterial large subunit ribosomal RNA", at positions 2220 to 2597 of the family's 2925-position model. Lineage: Eukaryota; Metazoa; Chordata; Amphibia; Anura; Mantellidae. The record is from RNAcentral.
CUCUUAUAGCCCCACAACCCCCCUAGGCACCGUGUGCUUGGUUUUAGGUUGGGGCGACCGCGGAGUACAAUAAAACCUCCACAAUGAAUGGGAACACCCCCUUAUCUGAGGGCCACACCCCCUAAGAAUUAGAACACUAACAUAAAAUGAUCCAUUACUUGAUCAAUGAACCAAGUUACCCUGGGGAUAACAGCGCAAUCCAUUUCAAGAGCCCCUAUCGACAAAUGGGUUUACGACCUCGAUGUUGGAUCAGGGUACCCCAGUGGUGCAGCAGCUACUAACGGUUCGUUUGUUCAACGAUUAAAACCCU